GGAGUGGUCCUCUGGGCUAAGCUUACUUUAUGAGCUACAUUGAAGCGAAACUUUGGGAUGGACCUGGAAGCAGAUAGUUCCCCUUCUCCCCCCGCCCCAUCAACACCAUCAUGAUGUAGUGGACUGGGAUGCCUACGAAAAUCCUCACCAUUCUGAAUUAAAGCUCAUCUACCAGGACUGGAGUGCAAUAGCCCAUGCCUUCUCUUAGGCCUUGUCAGUUCCUGAGUUCCUGAGACACUAGAUACUGGGGUACAAGAGAGCCAGUUCUGACUGCAACUGCAAGAUGCGGCAUGAAGCUUCAAACUUAAAAGUGUGGUCCUUUGCAGCAUUGCCUCUGAGUGGAUUGUGAAGAAAAGCUGGACAAAUACAGAUUUUCAGUGUCUGGUUGCAUCAGCAUGGCUGCAGCACACAAUAGGAUAAAGCUUAAACUGGGAAAUAAUGGAAUUAUGCUUUUCUAUUGUAGCUGUCUGUGCCUGCCUACAACACACAAGGUAAACAACUGCUGCCUUCCAGAAUCCCUUAUUGAGCAUGCAUGAACACUAAAUCAGAAAGAAAAGGAGAGAGUGGAUAAACCUGCUUUACUAGCUACUGCCAGAAUGUUUAAAAAAGCACAGAUGUUUAAGUUUGGCCUCCAAAUUGAAAUUAUAAGACAAGUGGAAACUAAUGAAAGAAAAUGCAAUGCUUGUCUUGCCUAGCCGUUUCAUUUCAUUUGUACAAAUUAUUGGUUUUAGAUAAAAGGUUUGCAGGAAAAUGUUGAACUGCUUUUCUGUUUUGUGGUAUAGUAACCUAUC
Molecule: long non-coding RNA, 791 nt
Organism: Sceloporus undulatus (fence lizard)
Lineage: Eukaryota; Metazoa; Chordata; Lepidosauria; Squamata; Phrynosomatidae
Exons: 3
Source: RefSeq, a predicted model, not a curated record